UUACUUCAAUAAUCUCCACUUGUGGUCCCUGGGACUUCAGCCACCUCCUCCACCAGGGUCUCCUCUAGUACAUCUGCCACCUCCUCCACUUGCCUGGCCUCUGCUAUCUGAACUCCUCCAGGACCUCAACCAGCUCCCCUACCCAUUGUUGCCUGUAGGACCUCGACCACCACCUCCACAUGUACUACUUG
RNAcentral lists this long non-coding RNA (191 nucleotides) under Pan troglodytes (chimpanzee). RNAcentral describes it as "lincRNA". Lineage: Eukaryota; Metazoa; Chordata; Mammalia; Primates; Hominidae. The record is from RNAcentral.